UACAGAGGUCUCAAGCGUUGUUCGGAUUCAUUGGGCGUAAAGAGCGUGUAGGCGGUUCGGUAAGUCGGCUGUGAAAGUCCAGGGCUCAACCCUGGGAUGCCGGUCGAUACUGCCGGACUAGAGUUCGGAAGAGGCGAGUGGAAUUCCCGGUGUAGCGGUGAAAUGCGCAGAUAUCGGGAGGAACACCUAUGGCGAAGGCAGCUCGCUGGGACGUUACUGACGCUGAGACGCGAAAGCGUGGGGAGCAAACAGG
RNAcentral lists this ribosomal RNA (253 nucleotides) under uncultured bacterium. Its description in RNAcentral is "partial 16S ribosomal RNA". It matches the Rfam family "Bacterial small subunit ribosomal RNA", at positions 524 to 776 of the family's 1533-position model. The record is from RNAcentral.